CUCAGCAGGCUCCAGCUUGGUGGCACUGGGGGAAGGCUCCAGACCCCAGCCUAUCAUCCCUGCAUGGAGCCCACAUCUCC
This 80-nucleotide microRNA precursor is filed under the name Nomascus leucogenys (northern white-cheeked gibbon). RNAcentral's name for it is "miRNA (ENSNLEG00000021259.2)". The record is from RNAcentral. Lineage: Eukaryota; Metazoa; Chordata; Mammalia; Primates; Hylobatidae.